GAUGAACGCUGGCGGCGUGCCUAAUACAUGCAAGUCGAGCGGUAAGGCUUCUUCGGAAGUACACGAGCGGCGGACGGCUGAGUAAUGCAUAGGAACGUACCCCAAACUGAGGGAUAAGCCACCGAAAGGUGGUCUAAUACCGCAUGUGCUCUUCGGAGUAAAGCUACGGCGGUUUGGGAGCGGCCUAUGUUCGAAUAGCUUGUUGGUGAGGUAAUGGCUCACCAAGGCGACGAUCGAUAGCGGGUCUGAGAGGAUGAUCCGCCAGACUGGAACUGAGACACGGUCCAGACUCCUACGGGAGGCAGCAGUAGGGAAUUUUCCACAAUGGGGGCAACCCUGAUGGAGCGACGCCGCGUGCAGGAUGAAGGCCUUCGGGUUGUAAACUGCUUUUCUCUGUGAUGAUUAUGACAGUAGCAGAGGAAUAAGGAUCGGCUAACUCCGUGCCAGCAGCCGCGGUAA
RNAcentral lists this ribosomal RNA (459 nucleotides) under uncultured bacterium. RNAcentral's name for it is "partial 16S ribosomal RNA". It matches the Rfam family "Bacterial small subunit ribosomal RNA", at positions 28 to 523 of the family's 1533-position model. The record is from RNAcentral.